GGCGAAGUCUGGGUUAUGUGCAGAAAGAGAAGUGUGGACAUCUGUCCUCAAAUACAAGGUCUCCCUACGUUGUUCAGGCUGGCUUUGAACUCACUGUGUAGUCCAGGCUGGCCUCAAACUCCUGGUGAUCCUCCUGCCUCAGCCUCCCUGGUGCUGGGAUCACAGCAGAAGUGACAAUGCCUGAUUCGUCCCUCCCAGUCCUCUGUGUUCCUGUUUCCUGGCAAGGUCAGCAGACACAAACCAUUUCUCAUGGCCUCCAUGAACACCAGCCCUGAAAGAGGCUGCAAAGAGAGGAUCCUGACCAAGGCUGUAGAAAAAGAAUCUUUCAAGAACGUAUCUAUCUAUCUAUCGAUAUACAUGCAGGCCCUGAC
Molecule: long non-coding RNA, 371 nt
Filed under: Heterocephalus glaber (naked mole-rat)
Lineage: Eukaryota; Metazoa; Chordata; Mammalia; Rodentia; Bathyergidae
Description: lncRNA (ENSHGLG00000039476.1)
Source: RNAcentral